This is a long non-coding RNA of Brienomyrus brachyistius, 221 nucleotides long. RefSeq lists it as uncharacterized. The record is from RefSeq and is a predicted model, not a curated record. The transcript is spliced from 3 exons. Lineage: Eukaryota; Metazoa; Chordata; Actinopteri; Osteoglossiformes; Mormyridae.
UUGUCCUGGGAUAGUUUCAUAUAUUUUGCAUUCCAUUCAUCCUCUCGUUCCUUAGCCUGUAGAGACAGCAAAGGGGAUGAGACUGGCUGUCCACCCCGUAACAGGCAAGCAGGCCCGUGCUGGGAGGUGCGAGGCCUACGUCCCCGUAACAGGCAAGCAGGCCCGUGCUGGGAGGUGCGAGGCCUACGUCCCCGUAACAGGCAAGCAGGCCCGUGCUGGGA